This 253-nucleotide ribosomal RNA is filed under the name uncultured bacterium. RNAcentral describes it as "partial 16S ribosomal RNA". It matches the Rfam family "Bacterial small subunit ribosomal RNA", at positions 524 to 776 of the family's 1533-position model. The record is from RNAcentral.
UACGGAGGGGGCUAGCGUUGUUCGGAAUUACUGGGCGUAAAGCGCACGUAGGCGGCUUUGUAAGUUAGAGGUGAAAGCCCGGGGCUCAACCCCGGAAUUGCCUUUAAGACUGCAUCGCUAGAAUUGUGGAGAGGUGAGUGGAAUUCCGAGUGUAGAGGUGAAAUUCGUAGAUAUUCGGAAGAACACCAGUGGCGAAGGCGACUUACUGGACGAUUGUUGACGCUGAGGUGCGAAAGCGUGGGGAGCAAACAGG